This 551-nucleotide ribosomal RNA is filed under the name uncultured bacterium. RNAcentral describes it as "bacterial SSU rRNA". It matches the Rfam family "Bacterial small subunit ribosomal RNA", at positions 355 to 896 of the family's 1533-position model. The record is from RNAcentral.
UGGGGAAUUUUUCGCAAUGGGGGCAACCCUGACGAAGCAACGCCGCGUGGAGGAUGAAGGCCUUCGGGUUGUAAACUCCUGUCGACCGGGACGAAAGCAGUUCGACCCAAUACGUCGAGCUGUUGACUGUACCGGUGGAGGAAGCCACGGCUAACUCUGUGCCAGCAGCCGCGGUAAUACAGAGGUGGCAAGCGUUGUUCGGAAUUACUGGGCGUAAAGGGCGCGUAGGCGGCCCGCUAAGUUCCGUGUGAAAUCCCUCGGCUUAACUGAGGAACCGCACGGAAAACUGGCAGGCUUGAGUUCGGGAGAGGGAAGUGGAAUUCCGGGUGUAGCGGUGAAAUGCGUAGAUAUCCGGAGGAACACCGGUGGCGAAGGCGGCUUCCUGGACCGACACUGACGCUGAGGCGCGAAAGCUAGGGGAGCAAACGGGAUUAGAUACCCCGGUAGUCCUAGCUGUAAACGAUGAGCGCUGGGUGUAGGGGGUAUGAACCCCCCCUGUGCCGAAGCUAACGCAUUAAGCGCUCCGCCUGGGGAGUACGGUCGCAAGGCUG